Molecule: ribosomal RNA, 332 nt
Filed under: Pectobacterium carotovorum subsp. carotovorum
Lineage: Bacteria; Pseudomonadati; Pseudomonadota; Gammaproteobacteria; Enterobacterales; Pectobacteriaceae
Description: bacterial SSU rRNA
Rfam family: Bacterial small subunit ribosomal RNA
Source: RNAcentral
GGUGAUAAACCGGAGGAAGGUGGGGAUGACGUCAAGUCAUCAUGGCCCUUACGAGUAGGGCUACACACGUGCUACAAUGGCGUAUACAAAGAGAAGCGACCUCGCGAGAGCAAGCGGACCUCAUAAAGUACGUCGUAGUCCGGAUUGGAGUCUGCAACUCGACUCCAUGAAGUCGGAAUCGCUAGUAAUCGUAGAUCAGAAUGCUACGGUGAAUACGUUCCCGGGCCUUGUACACACCGCCCGUCACACCAUGGGAGUGGGUUGCAAAAGAAGUAGGUAGCUUAACCUUCGGGAGGGCGCUUACCACUUUGUGAUUCAUGACUGGGGUGAAG